Molecule: ribosomal RNA, 478 nt
Filed under: uncultured bacterium
Lineage: Bacteria
Description: bacterial SSU rRNA
Rfam family: Bacterial small subunit ribosomal RNA
Source: RNAcentral
AUGAAACACUCCUACGGGAGGCAGCAGUGAGGAAUAUUGGACAAUGGUCGGGAGACUGAUCCAGCCAUGCCGCGUGCAGGAUGAAGGUCCUAUGGAUUGUAAACUGCUUUUGUAAGGGAAGAAUAAGGAGUACGCGUACUUUGAUGACGGUACCUUACGAAUAAGCAUCGGCUAACUCCGUGCCAGCAGCCGCGGUAAUACGGAGGAUGCGAGCGUUAUCCGGAAUCAUUGGGUUUAAAGGGUCCGUAGGCGGGCUGAUAAGUCAGAGGUGAAAGCGCUUAGCUCAACUAAGCAACUGCCUUUGAAACUGUCAGUCUUGAAUGAUUGUGAAGUAGUUGGAAUGUGUAGUGUAGCGGUGAAAUGCUUAGAUAUUACACAGAACACCGAUAGCGGAGGCAUAUUACUAACAAUUUAUUGACGCUGAUGGACGAAAGCGUGGGGAGCGAACAGGAUUAGAAACCCUGGUAGUCCGAAGUUC